CCAGACUCCUACGGGAGGCAGCAGUGGGGAAUAUUGCACAAUGGGGGAAACCCUGAUGCAGCGACGCCGCGUGGGUGAAGGAGUACUUCGGUACGUAAAGCCCUAUCAGCAGGAAAGAAAAUGACGGUACCUGACUAAGAAGCCCCGGCUAACUACGUGCCAGCAGCCGCGGUAAUACGUAGGGGGCAAGCGUUAUCCGGAUUUACUGGGUGUAAAGGGGGCGCAGACGGCCAUGGCAAGCCCGGUGUGAAAGGCAGGGGCAUAACCCCUGGACUGCACUGGGAACUGUCAGGCUGGAGUGCCGGAGGGGUAAGCGGAAUUCCUGGUGUAGCGGUGAAAUGCGUAGAUAUCAGGAGGAACACCGGCGGCGAAGGCGGCUUACUGGACUGUAACUGACGUUGAGGCUCGAAAGCGUGGGGAGCAAACAGGAUUAGAUACCCCAGUAU
This 446-nucleotide ribosomal RNA is filed under the name uncultured bacterium. RNAcentral describes it as "bacterial SSU rRNA". It matches the Rfam family "Bacterial small subunit ribosomal RNA", at positions 331 to 793 of the family's 1533-position model. The record is from RNAcentral.